Molecule: long non-coding RNA, 1987 nt
Organism: Numida meleagris (helmeted guineafowl)
Lineage: Eukaryota; Metazoa; Chordata; Aves; Galliformes; Numididae
Exons: 3
Source: RefSeq, a predicted model, not a curated record
CUGUACCUCCUCCUUGCACUUUCACCACUUGUCCCUCGCAGUCUGCAGCCUGCGGCGCACUGCACCUGCCCUGAGGAAGGCAGCAACCACAAAGCCUCAGGGAAACACGAUGCAUUAAAUCCAGCUGAACGUGAGUGAGCCCCAAUGGAACAUAAACAACAAAUUCCUGGCAAUCAGUGAAGCAGUAACAGUUCAUGGAGCUGCCCUUCACAAACCUGGAAGUAGCUUUCAUCUUGCUGGCUUUUGUCAUUUUCUCCUUGUUCACCUUGGCAUCUAUCUACAGUGACCCCCAUGGCAAGAAAGAAGAAGAAUGCACUACGCAGGAAGUAUACAAGAAAAGAACCAAAUCCAGCAAGAAAAAGACACAUGCUAAUACUACUGAAUUGAUUUAGAGAAAGAAUUGUUACCCAGGUCCACUGUUGGAAAUACAUCUGAAAGAGAUAACCUUGGAAGCUGGUCACCUGAACACAGUGAGAAAAAGGGUGUGAGAAAGGAAGGACCUGAUCAUCCAUCAGAUGGAAUCCAGACGUGACAAUUAGAGUUAAUGAACCACGACCCAAGAAACAGUUUCAGCACUUUUUACAGUCCCACUUCAUGGCCGCAGUAAAACUUUCAGGGCUUUUUUUUUUUUUUUUUUUUUUUUUCACAGAACACAUCUGCUUCAAAUUCUGAAGGGUGAAACUAGAUUCGGAAGUUAUAUUUGGUUUCUUCCCCACUUUUCAGUCAUGGAUGAGGUAAAUGUAAGAUCUUUCUUUAGUCAACUGAAAAUCAGAAGAUACUGCUUCUACAAUUAGACUAUAUAGUAUUAUUAUAGUCGUUACUUAAUUUAUAUUAAAAUUAAUAAGCUGAUAAAGCUGACUGAAAAAUACCAAGCAAAUAUUUUCAAAAUGUAACCAGUAUAAUGGCAUCUGUGUUCAAAUACUGGUUUUGGCCUCAGAUACUUACACAGCUAACAGAAUGCUCCAAAAAAGAAAAGAAAAAAGUUGAUUAAUACCUAAGUCUUCCAUCAUUUCUUCACAGAGCAGGUAUAGCUAAUGAAGCAAUGCCUCUUUAUCGCCAAAGUCCAGAAGAUCUACUGAACUUCUAAGCCUGAGGUGGAAUUGAUCUUUCUUUCCCUAUGGGCAAAGUAUUCCUGCAGUCAGAGCUUCUCAGCAGUUUCUCAGAAUGACAAAAAUCCAUCCAUCUGGUCUUUUGCUAUUAUAUGGAAUGGAGGAUUGAAAAAGGGCCAAACAACUCUUGGUGUUUUUUUCCGUACCAGACACACCUUUCCUCAGCCUCCUCUUGAGAUGUGUUCUCAAAACCAUAACAAUUCACUAUGAAACCUGCUAACUAAAUUACAAUUGCUUUCUGGUUAUGGUAGUGAAUUCUAAGAAUACAUUUUCAGCAGCCCUGGUCAGAAAUCCAGAAAGGCCAGGUACUUAGUGCAGAGCAGGAAGAUCUCGAGAGCUUGGAGAUAAUGUUUCACAGUCAGCUACAUUCCAGUUCCCUCUUCUGAGUUAGGAAGUGAUUGGUUGCAUCCUGGUUCUGAAGAAGGCAAAGGCAUCUCAGUCAUUGGUACCCCUUUAACUCCAAACUUGAAGAAAGCCAUCAUUAAGAAGUCCAACUUGGUCUUGUACAUGGAAAUGUCUGUGGUACGUGCAAGACCUCAUUGGGAGUCAUCGUGUCUCACAAGGAAUGGCUCACAGAGCUUUGUUCUUACUGACAUUAUGCUCAUACAUUCCACUUUUUUACUAUUGCUAAGUAUAGUUUUAUCUUUUUCACUAUAUUAACCUCCCAAGAGCUCAUUAAAUGUUACUGGUAUUGAAAACACAGUCAAUCAGGUGAAAUAAAAUAAAAUGGAAAAUAAAUUAAAAAUAUCAGUACACUGAGUGUUUGCUGUAAAAAUCUUCUGCCUUGCUUAAACACUGCACUACUUUUUAAGUAUGCUUGCGAGAAGUUGUGUAAUGCAUAACAUAGUGAAUAAAGCACCCAUACAUUAGGUAAGUGA